AAUGCGGUCGGACCGCUCGUGAUUCCCGAAAGUCUUUGGUGAAGAAAGCAGGCGCUGUGCCCCUUUUGCAGGCGUUUCAUUUGAUUGUUGAUGUCCCAUCGCCAUGACCAGAUAGGCAUCUUGUGGUUUACAGGAAACCUUCCUCCCAGCAGGGAUGCUCCAGUUACGAUAAAAGAAAUUUGAAGCAAGGAAAGGAGUAAGGACAGGAGAGGAGGCCCUUCAUUAAUAUUCACAGUACCAUCUCACAAGGAGAGGAGGACAUCAAAUCCGUGGAGGAUUUCUGUAUCAAGAUUUUGCUGCUUCCAUGAUGAUUGCAACUACUUUCAAGUCGCCUGGGAAUUCAAGAGUCGGUUGGAGAUGAGCUAUUCUGUAUCGACACACCAUCGAGAGACGGUGGGGAACAAAAUAGGUUUGUGUUAUGUGUUGCACAGAGCUGUAAAAUCCGAUUUGCAAGGUCAAUAAAUUCCUCCAAUAUGAA
This is a non-coding RNA of Pantherophis guttatus, 478 nucleotides long. NCBI's taxonomy places the organism in Eukaryota, Metazoa, Chordata, Lepidosauria, Squamata, Colubridae. The record is from RefSeq and is a predicted model, not a curated record.